RNAcentral lists this long non-coding RNA (721 nucleotides) under Mus musculus (house mouse). RNAcentral describes it as "predicted gene, 49126". The record is from RNAcentral. Lineage: Eukaryota; Metazoa; Chordata; Mammalia; Rodentia; Muridae.
GUCUAUUCACUGCAAUACAACACUUAAAACACAGUAUAGAGACAAUAACUUCAUGUUAAGAAUAAGCCCAUUUUCUGACAGUGAUCUUCUGAUCCAGAUUCAAGUGUAUGAAGACACAAUUUUGAUUCCAGGUUCUGUUUGUACAGAGGCCUCAUCUUUAUUCCAGGUCAGUUCUUUAUCCUGUCAUCAUCAAAGAGGCAUCCUCUGGCAGCAGUUGGGGACAGAUGCAGUGACCCACAGGCAGACAUUCUGUGGAUAGAAAGUCUGAACUGCAGGAUUCCAUCAAAUCUGUUGCCCCAGAGCUCAAAGAAUCCUGUGGAAGAGGACGUGGAACAAAUGUAAGCUCCAGAGGAUACCUGGCAAACAAGGCUCACUGAAGCAAUUAAGCAAGAAUGACCUUCAUCAGACACAGUUUCUCUGGCGCAGUGAUAAAGGUUUUAAAGACAAUUAUUCUUCACCUAUGAGUCUCUCCUUCUAGUGACGUACUUACCUUCAAGCUUUCUGAUUUUAUAUUUCCGCAGUGGUCCAAAUUUCUAAACUGUUCAUGUAAACAGACACACUUCUGUACUGUCAUGUCUCUGAUUGAAGUUCAUAGCAACCAGUGCCACUUCUAUUUCUUCAUAUCCAUUAACUUGCUCACUUUGCCCUGGCCUAAAGCAUCAGUUUUCCCUCAAACCACUUUUAGAUAUAAAAUGACUCUAUUACAUCUUCACAAAUAAAG